UCNUCANNUCANANCUUCNCUUAUAAUCGCAUUUCGGCAGGCCUAACACAUGCAAGUCGAGCGGUAGCACAGAGAGCUUGCUCUCGGGUGACGAGCGGCGGACGGGUGAGUAAUGUCUGGGAAACUGCCUGAUGGAGGGGGAUAACUACUGGAAACGGUAGCUAAUACCGCAUAACGUCGCAAGAACAAAGAGGGGGACCUUCGGGCCUCUUGCCAUCAGAUGUGCCCACAUGGGAUUAGCUAGUAGGUGGGGUAACGGCUCACCUAGGCGACGAUCCCUANCUGGUCUGAGAGGAUGACCAGCCACACUGGAACUUAGACACGGGUCCACACUCCUACCGGAGGCAGCAGUGGGGAAUAUUGCACAAUGGGCGCAACCCUGAUGCAGCCAUGCC
This 395-nucleotide ribosomal RNA is filed under the name uncultured Enterobacter sp. RNAcentral describes it as "bacterial SSU rRNA". It matches the Rfam family "Bacterial small subunit ribosomal RNA", at positions 40 to 398 of the family's 1533-position model. Lineage: Bacteria; Pseudomonadati; Pseudomonadota; Gammaproteobacteria; Enterobacterales; Enterobacteriaceae. The record is from RNAcentral.